AUACUCUGGUUUCUUUCUAGAGCGCAUAAAUCUUUCGCCUUUUAAUAGAGAUUUCCAUGGAGUGUAGUAUACAAAUGAACUGUUGUUGUUAAUGAUGGUGUGGUUGUUAUA
This is a small nuclear RNA of Eublepharis macularius, 111 nucleotides long. RefSeq annotates it as U5 spliceosomal RNA. NCBI's taxonomy places the organism in Eukaryota, Metazoa, Chordata, Lepidosauria, Squamata, Eublepharidae. The transcript has a single exon. The record is from RefSeq and is a predicted model, not a curated record.